RNAcentral lists this ribosomal RNA (695 nucleotides) under uncultured Alphaproteobacteria bacterium. RNAcentral's name for it is "bacterial SSU rRNA". It matches the Rfam family "Bacterial small subunit ribosomal RNA", at positions 8 to 749 of the family's 1533-position model. The record is from RNAcentral. Lineage: Bacteria; Pseudomonadati; Pseudomonadota; Alphaproteobacteria.
AGAGUUUGAUCAUGGCUCAGAACGAACGCUGGCGGCAGGCCUAACACAUGCAAGUCGAACGAAGUCUUCGGACUGAGUGGCGGACGGGUGAGUAACACGUGGGAACCUAUCCUUUGGUGCGGAAUAACAGAGGGAAACUUCUGCUAAUACCGCAUACGCCCUAAGGGGGAAAGAUUUAUCGCCAAAGGAGGGGCCCGCGUAGGAUUAGCUAGUUGGUGGGGUAAUGGCCUACCAAGGCUGCGAUCCUUAGCUGGUCUGAGAGGAUGAUCAGCCACACUGGGACUGAGACACGGCCUAGACUCCUACGGGAGGCAGCAGUGGGGAAUAUUGGACAAUGGGGGCAACCCUGAUCCAGCCAUGCCGCGUGAAUGAAGAAGGCCCUAGGGUUGUAAAGUUCUUUCACUCGUGAGGAUGAUGACAGUAGCGAGAGAAGAAGCCCCGGCUAACUCCGUGCCAGCAGCCGCGGUAAUACGGAGGGGGCAAGCGUUGUUCGGAUUUACUGGGCGUAAAGGGCGCGUAGGCGGCAUGCCAAGUUGGGGGUGAAAGGCCUGGGCUUAACCUAGGAACUGCCUUCAAAACUGGCAAGCUUGAGACCGGGAGAGGUUAGCGGAAUUCCCAGUGUAGAGGUGAAAUUCGUAGAUAUUGGGAAGAACACCAGUGGCGUAGGCGGCUAACUGGACCGGAUCUGGCGCUGA